Molecule: RNA transcript, 2202 nt
Organism: Papaver somniferum (opium poppy)
Lineage: Eukaryota; Viridiplantae; Streptophyta; Magnoliopsida; Ranunculales; Papaveraceae
Source: RefSeq, a predicted model, not a curated record
GAGUUUAACGGUCAGUUGUUGAGAAAAUGCCGAGUAAGAAAAGGAGAAGAGAAGAGAAGGCAAGCAUACAUCCACGAAACAAAUACUCUGAAAAUCCUCCUGAUUUCCAACAAUUAGCUUCUCUGUAUCCAUCUUUUCAACCCUUCGUUUUCUACUCCCCUCGUGAUGGAAGACCUAGAAUUGACUGGACUGAUUUCAAUGCCACCAGAGAACUAACUAGGGUUUUACUUUUCCACGAUCACGGUGUUCAUUGGUGGAUACCUGAUGGGCAGCUCUGUCCUACAAUACCAAAUAGGUCAAAUUACAUUCACUGGAUUGAAGAUUUACUCUCCUCUGAUGUUAUUGCAAAGACUAAUGUUAGUGGAGAUAAUAAAGUGAGGGGUUUUGAUAUUGGAACUGGAGCCAAUUGCAUAUACCCUCUUCUUGGUGCAUCCCUUUUGGGUUGGAAUUUCGUUGGAUCAGAUGUGACUGAUGUUGCUUUAGAAUGGGCAGAAUACAAUGUUAAGAGCAAUCCACAUCUUUCCGAGUUGAUUGAAAUCAGGAGGGCUGGAAGUGCUGGGAAGAAGAACACCCCGCAUGAAGCUGCUGAUGCCAAUGGUCAGUUGGCUACUGAAACCGAACGAUGUUCAGAACAAGUUAUUGGAGACGAGAUAGAGUCAGUGGCUAAGGCAUCAGAUCUUGUUUCUGACUCACAAGAAGCUGCUGCCGCUGCCAAUGGUCAGCUGGCUUCUGAAACUGAACGAUGUUCAGAACAAGUGAUUGGAGAUGAGACAGAGUCAGUGGAUAAGGUAUCUGAUGUUGUAUCUGACUCACAAGAAGCUACUGCAGCCAAUGGCCAGUUGGCUACUGAAAGGGAACGAUGUUCAGAAGAGAUUAUAAGGGAGGCAGAGCUGGAGGUUAAGGUGCCUGAUGUUGUUUCUGAGUUGCAGGAGAAGUCUUCUGAUGAGCCACGCGUACUUCUUGGCGUUGUCAAGGAUGGUGAACGUUUUGACUUUUGUAUGUGCAAUCCUCCGUUUUUUGAGAGCAUGGAGGAAGCAGGACUAAACCCAAAAACCGCAUGCGGUGGGACACCGGCAGAGAUGGUUUGCCCUGGUGGAGAAUUGGCUUUUAUUUCUCGUAUUAUUGAAGAUAGUGCUGUGCUGAAGCAGUCUUUUCGGUGGUACACUUCAAUGGUUGGGAGGAAAAUAAAUCUCAAGUUGCUAACAUCUAAGCUUAGAGAGGUGGGAGUAUCUGUAGUUAAGACUACCGAGUUUGUCCAAGGACAUAUGUGCAGAUGGGGGCUUGCAUGGUCUUUCAUUCCUCCGGCUACAAUUACAGCUUCUCAUAGAACACCAAAAACCAGUAUGUCGUUCAUGCUUGAGGGUAUUCAGCGCCAGAUUAGUGCGAUGCACAUUCUGCAAUCUGUGGAGUCCUUUUUUGCCGCGGCUGGAGCAUCUUGCAAAUCUAAUUGCUCAUCAUUUGUCGUUGAUGUCACUGUAUCAAAUGAGCGUUGUGAUGCAAUUGUGAAUAAUGAAUCAGUCAAUUCUUAUGAAACUAGCAAUUCUCAACCAAGGCAGCCAACUUGCGAUGAUGCAGUUCCAUCAAAAGAGAUUUCUUUCCGCAUCUCGGUUUUCCAGCAAAUUCCCGGGACACUUUUAGUGAAAGCCUCCUUACAAAAUAAAGGAGGCCCACUUUCUGGCGCAUUAUCUGUGCUGUUUCAGCAGCUGGAAUUAUCCCUUAAGAAGGAUUAUUGUAGAAAUACCUAAACAUGUCCAAGGUGCAAGCUAGGAAGAUAUGCCUACUUUCAACUCUGUAUGACCUGAGUGAACCCGGAUCUGUGGAACCAUUGGCCCAACUUGUGAGUUUGGAACCAAUAGUGUAUGCGUCAAUGCUUGGGUUCCUGAUCAGAUAUCUCCCUACCCAGAACCGGAACUGAUUAUAGAGUCCGUAUCAGGUUCUUAUCGGGAUCCAGAACCGAAUGUAUCGAUUCCAUUUUGCUCAGGUUUCGGUUCUAGCGAAAAUUCGUUGACGUCAGCAACAUUGGAUGUCAUUUUUCGCAUUGAAUAUUAUACAUCCCAUUGUCAAUUUGAAUUAAAAAUAGAAACUCAUCCUCCAACUUUUAGUAGUACAAGGUCUCUAGAUUUGCAAAAUAUGGUAAUGCACUGCACAUAUUUUGUUAAGACAAAAUCUUUCUAUAAUCCCGCAAAUCUCUUUGGUUACUUA